GAGCGUCCGAUGACAUUUUAGGUAGUGGGUGGGCUAAAAGCUUACCAAGCUUACGAUCUGUAGGUGAUCUGAGAGGACGAUCAGCCACACUGGGACUGAGACACGGCCCAGACUCAUACGGGAGGCAGCAGUGGGGAAUUUUGGACAAUGGGGGAAACCCUGAUCCAGCAAUGCCGCGUGCAGGAUGAAGGUCUUCGGGUUGUAAACUGCUUUUGUACGGAACGAAAAGUCUUGGGUUAAUACCCUGGGAUCAUGACGGUACCGUAAGAAUAAGCACCGGCUAACUACGUGCCAGCAGCCGCGGUAAUACGUAGGGUGCAAGCGUUAAUCGGAAUUACUGGGCGUAAAGCGUGCGCAGGCGGUUUUGUAAGACAGUGGUGAAAUCCCCGGGCUCAACCUGGGAACUGCCAUUGUGACUGCAAGGCUGGAGUGCGGCAGAGGGGGAUGGAAUUCCGCGUGUAGCAGUGAAAUGCGUAGAUAUGCGGAGGAACACCGAUGGCGAAGGCAAUCCCCUGGGCCUGCACUGACGCUCAUGCACGAAAGCGUGGGGAGCAAACAGGAUUAGAUACCCUGGUAGUCCACGCCCUAAA
Molecule: ribosomal RNA, 590 nt
Filed under: uncultured bacterium
Lineage: Bacteria
Description: bacterial SSU rRNA
Rfam family: Bacterial small subunit ribosomal RNA
Source: RNAcentral